AGGGAAUCUUCCACAAUGGGCGAAAGCCUGAUGGAGCAACGCCGCGUGAGCGAAGAAGGUCUUCGGAUCGUAAAGCUCUGUUGUAAGGGAAGAACAAGCGCAGCAGUAACUGGCUGCGCCCUGACGGUACCUUACUAGAAAGCCACGGCUAACUACGUGCCAGCAGCCGCGGUAAUACGUAGGUGGCAAGCGUUGUCCGGAAUUAUUGGGCGUAAAGCGCGCGCAGGCGGUUUCUUAAGUCUGAUGUGAAAGCCCCCGGCUCAACCGGGGAGGGUCAUUGGAAACUGGGAGACUUGAGUGCAGGAGAGGGAAGUGGAAUUCCAUGUGUAGCGGUGAAAUGCGUAGAGAUAUGGAGGAACACCAGUGGCGAAGGCGGCUUCCUGGCCUGUAACUGACGCUGAGGCGCGAAAGCGUGGGGAGCAAAC
RNAcentral lists this ribosomal RNA (425 nucleotides) under uncultured bacterium. RNAcentral's name for it is "bacterial SSU rRNA". It matches the Rfam family "Bacterial small subunit ribosomal RNA", at positions 356 to 773 of the family's 1533-position model. The record is from RNAcentral.